CUUAAAAACAAACAAAAGCCGGGCAGUGGUGGCACACGCCUUUAAUCCCAGCACUCGGGAGGCAGAGGCAGGCGGAUCUCUGAGUUCGAGGC
Molecule: microRNA precursor, 92 nt
Filed under: Mesocricetus auratus (golden hamster)
Lineage: Eukaryota; Metazoa; Chordata; Mammalia; Rodentia; Cricetidae
Description: miRNA (ENSMAUG00000005726.1)
Source: RNAcentral